UGUGACGUCAACGGGGGAUAGAAAUUCGCCAGAGAAAAUAAAAUUUUACUGUGUCGCUGAAGAAAUCAACGUCUUUAGCACAAUAUAUGCAAAUCAUCCCAAAUGCUAUGUUCAGAAACAGUGAAGUACCAUGGCUGAACCAGAUCCUGUAACAGAAAAGAAAGUACAACAGUACACGACUGUGAUUGUCAUAAGCUGUAUGCCAAGGAUGUCCCUGGCGCUGUUUUACCGCAACUUCAACCAGAAAGAUGCACAGUUACAGAGUUGCGAAUAUGGUUGAAAUGUCGGGGACAAGCUGUGAAAUCGAAUGAGACAAAAGCCGAACUUUGCUUGAGGGUAAAGAAAUUCAGUGACAACCAGGAUAAACUCCUAAUUGUGGAUCCUUAUCCAGACCAGCCCUUUGCAGCUAAGCAGAAGUCGUCCUGUAUGAACUGUAAAGGACAAUCAACAGUGUCAACAGCGGAAGAACAUCUUAAUUUGGAAGAAUGCACAUGGACCCAAAGCACCAGACCGAUCUUCAAAGACUUUUCGUACAUGAACAUUCUGGAAUGGACCAAAAGUUCUGGUAAAGGUUCAAAACUGGGUGUUGAAAAGCCUAUUCAACGAGGCUAUGUGUUUUUUCAUGACGGUUAUGUAUUCGACACAUGGACAUCUGAACGUAACAGUUCAACAAUUGUUAGAUGUAAGUGUUUCCGCUCCAUGAAAAACCGGUAAUCAGGAAUAAAGAGUAUUGAAAUAAUAUAAAUUAGAUUUGAAAGUAUUCAAUUUUGUGUUAUUUAGUGUCAGUAUUUGUGAGAUUCACCUCAAAUCACAUUUAUUCAUUCAAUAUAAUCAUAGGAUCUCAGCUCAUUUUGGUGCAAUACCUGUAUCUGAAUGUUUGUAAUUUUCAGAUUGUGUUUCCUUAAAUUAGUUUAUGGUUUCUAGCUUUCACAUGUUGUCUUUCAUCAUUAAUCUCUCAAUUAAUGAUACUGCAUACUGUUUUGUGAUGAACUAUGCUACUCAAAUGUGCUUAUCUUGCAUUAUUUCUGUUGUAAUAAAGCUUAUAUCAUUGAUAACAAA
Molecule: long non-coding RNA, 1059 nt
Organism: Dreissena polymorpha
Lineage: Eukaryota; Metazoa; Mollusca; Bivalvia; Myida; Dreissenidae
Exons: 4
Source: RefSeq, a predicted model, not a curated record